RNAcentral lists this transfer RNA (63 nucleotides) under Daphnia magna. It matches the Rfam family "tRNA", at positions 5 to 66 of the family's 71-position model. From Rfam's summary of the family: Transfer RNA (tRNA) molecules are approximately 80 nucleotides in length. The record is from Rfam by way of RNAcentral. Lineage: Eukaryota; Metazoa; Arthropoda; Branchiopoda; Diplostraca; Daphniidae.
UUGUAGCUCAAUGGUUGAGCAUCGGAAUUAUAUGCUGAAAGUACAGGGUUCGAUUCCUGUCGA